CAGUAGCCGCGGUAAUACGUAGGGUGCGAGCGUUAAUCGGAAUUACUGGGCGUAAAGCGUGCGCAGGCGGUUCGUUAAGACAGAUGUGAAAUCCCCGGGCUUAACCUGGGAACUGCAUUUGUGACUGGCGAGCUAGAGUAUGGCAGAGGGGGGUAGAAUUCCACGUGUAGCAGUGAAAUGCGUAGAGAUGUGGAGGAAUACCGAUGGCGAAGGCAGCCCCCUGGGCCAAUACUGACGCUCAUGCACGAAAGCGUGGGGAGCAAACGGGAUUAGAUACCCGCGUAGUCCCUGUCUCUUAUAC
This 301-nucleotide ribosomal RNA is filed under the name uncultured bacterium. RNAcentral's name for it is "partial 16S ribosomal RNA". It matches the Rfam family "Bacterial small subunit ribosomal RNA", at positions 509 to 807 of the family's 1533-position model. The record is from RNAcentral.